AAUAUUGCACAAUGGAGGGAACUCUGAUGCAGCAACGCCGCGUGAGUGAAGAAGGUUUUCGGAUCGAAAAACUCUGUCAUUGGGGAAGAAUAAAUGACGGUACCCAAUGAGGAAGCUCCGCCUAACUACGUGCCAGCAGCCGCGGUAAUACGUAGGGGGCGAGCGUUGUCCGGAAUUACUGGGCGUAAAGGGUAAGUAGGCGGAUAUAUAAGUCAGGUGUGAAAUACCAGUGCUUAACACUGGAAUUGCAUUUGAAACUGUGUAGCUUGAGUGCAGGAGAGGAAAGUGGAAUUCCUAGUGUAGCGGUGAAAUGCGUAGAGAUAUGGAGGAACACCAGUGGCGAAGGCGACUCUCUGGUCUGCAACUGACGCUGAGGCGCGAAAGCGUGGGGAUCAAACA
Molecule: ribosomal RNA, 399 nt
Filed under: uncultured bacterium
Lineage: Bacteria
Description: partial 16S ribosomal RNA
Rfam family: Bacterial small subunit ribosomal RNA
Source: RNAcentral